GACGAACGCUGGCGGCGUGCUUAACACAUGCAAGUCGAACGGUGAUGCUCCAGCUUGCUGGCGUGGAUCAGUGGCGAACGGGUGAGUAACACGUGAGCAACCUGCCCCAGACUCUGGAAUAAGCGCUGGAAACGGCGUCUAAUACUGGAUACGAAACUGGCCCGCAUGGGCAUGGUUUGGAAAGUUUUUCGGUUUGGGAUGGGCUCGCGGCCUAUCAGCUUGUUGGUGAGGUAAUGGCUCACCAAGGCGACGACGGGUAGCCGGCCUGAGAGGGCGACCGGCCACACUGGGACUGAGACACGGCCCAGACUCCUACGGGAGGCAGCAGUGGGGAAUAUUGCACAAUGGGCGAAAGCCUGAUGCAGCGACGCCGCGUGAGGGAUGACGGCCUUCGGGUUGUAAACCUCUUUCAGCAGGGAAGAAGCGAAAGUGACGGUACCUGCAGAAGAAGCACCGGCUAACUACGU
This 467-nucleotide ribosomal RNA is filed under the name uncultured bacterium. RNAcentral's name for it is "partial 16S ribosomal RNA". It matches the Rfam family "Bacterial small subunit ribosomal RNA", at positions 28 to 506 of the family's 1533-position model. The record is from RNAcentral.